AUCAGGUUUCUGGUCGCAGUAGGAGAGGACGAGCGUCCCCCUUUCUCGUGGACCCAGAGCAGAAUGAAUGCGGAAAAUGCGGUAGACUUGGCCACAACUCACGUACAUGCAUUUGGACACUUAGUCAGGAUGGCGCAGUUCCACUUGCUGGACCCUCACUACGACGAGCACCACAGGGGCCGUCUCACCGCAGAGGGAGAGGUGUUGCCCGUUCUGCGGGUCCGGACCCAUGACCUGUUUC
Long non-coding RNA from Zea mays, 241 nucleotides. RefSeq lists it as uncharacterized. The transcript has 3 exons. The record is from RefSeq and is a predicted model, not a curated record. NCBI's taxonomy places the organism in Eukaryota, Viridiplantae, Streptophyta, Magnoliopsida, Poales, Poaceae.